This 422-nucleotide ribosomal RNA is filed under the name uncultured prokaryote. RNAcentral describes it as "bacterial SSU rRNA". It matches the Rfam family "Bacterial small subunit ribosomal RNA", at positions 355 to 774 of the family's 1533-position model. The record is from RNAcentral.
UGAGGAAUAUUGGUCAAUGGGCGAGAGCCUGAACCAGCCAAGUCGCGUGAAGGAAGAAGGUUCUAUGGAUUGUAAACUUCUUUUGCAGGGGAAUAAAGGACGGUACGUGUACUGUUUUGUAUGUACCUUGCGAAUAAGGAUCGGCUAACUCCGUGCCAGCAGCCGCGGUAAUACGGCGGAUCCGAGCGUUAUCCGGAGUUAUUGGGUUUAAAGGGUGCGUAGGUGGAUCGUUAAGUCAGUGGUGAAAGUUUUCAGCUCAACUGAAAAAUUGCCGUUGAAACUGUCGAUCUUGAGUGCAAAUGAGGUAGGCGGAAUGUGUGGUGUAGCGGUGAAAUGCUUAGAUAUAACACAGAACACCGAUUGCGAAGGCAGCUUACUGGGAUGCAACUGACACUGAUGCACGAAAGCGUGGGUAUCAAACA